This is a long non-coding RNA of Toxorhynchites rutilus septentrionalis, 653 nucleotides long. RefSeq lists it as uncharacterized. The record is from RefSeq and is a predicted model, not a curated record. Lineage: Eukaryota; Metazoa; Arthropoda; Insecta; Diptera; Culicidae. The transcript is spliced from 3 exons.
CACUAAACGGCAUAACACAUUCGUCGAUAGUCAUCGAGCAAAAGCACUCCCUUGUAAUAAUAAGUCACUCGUAGUAAGCGCGAAGAAAGAAAGAAGGAAAGAGAGCGAAAAUACGAUUGAGCCACCUCAUGGUUCCUCCAACCCAACCUCGACGAGGGUACCCUACAAGAGAGACAAGACGGCGCGCAGCUUCAAGACACCAGCGAGUGAUCGAGAAGUGCUUUUUUCGUCACUCACAUCCGCAAUCUUCUAGAGAUCUAUGUAUAGCGGGUCGAGCAGCGAUAGAUUAAAUUCAAUCUCUCGGAGCAGUUGCACCGGCGGCCGGUCGGACACUCGAGGUUCAUAUGUGGCGAUGUGCUGCAAUGGGCGUGGGGAUGAGUGGAGAGUGCUUUCUGAAUGUCUUGCUGCUGCACGGCUCGUUGAUGGUGUUUCGUCAUUCAUGAAAACAAAACUGUGUCAUGACGUAAAGUAAUGAAACAACACACCGAUGGUUGGUAGAAACUUCGGGGAGUGGUUGUGCUCUAGAGUUCGGUAAUGAGACCACGCAGGUUUCUGAAGCGGUUGGGAAAUGUUACCACUUAGCAAUUGAUUUGUGAUUUGCUUAAAAUUAUGCUAUCUAACAUGACACCGUUUCAUCGGCUUGUGAUGAUGAC